GAUGAACGCUCGCUACAGGCUUAACACAUGCAAGUCGAGGGGAAACGACAUCGAAAGCUUGCUUUUGAUGGGCGUCGACCGGCGCACGGGUGAGUAACGCGUAUCCAACCUGCCCAUCACUUGGGAAUAACCUUGCGAAAGUAAGACUAAUACCCAAUGACAUCCCACGAAGACAUCUGAAUGGGAUUAAAGAUUUAUCGGUGAUGGAUGGGGAUGCGUCUGAUUAGCUUGUUGGCGGGGUAACGGCCCACCAAGGCAACGAUCAGUAGGGGUUCUGAGAGGAAGGUCCCCCACAUUGGAACUGAGACACGGUCCAAACUCCUACGGGAGGCAGCAGUGAGGAAUAUUGGUCAAUGGGCGAGAGCCUGAACCAGCCAAGUAGCGUGCAGGAGGACGGCCCUAUGGGUUGUAAACUGCUUUUAUAAGGGAAUAAAGUGGGUCUCGUGAGACUUUUUGCAUGUACCUUAUGAAUAAGGACCGGCUAAUUCCGUG
RNAcentral lists this ribosomal RNA (492 nucleotides) under uncultured bacterium. RNAcentral describes it as "partial 16S ribosomal RNA". It matches the Rfam family "Bacterial small subunit ribosomal RNA", at positions 28 to 507 of the family's 1533-position model. The record is from RNAcentral.